Non-coding RNA from Benincasa hispida (wax gourd), 562 nucleotides. The record is from RefSeq and is a predicted model, not a curated record. NCBI's taxonomy places the organism in Eukaryota, Viridiplantae, Streptophyta, Magnoliopsida, Cucurbitales, Cucurbitaceae.
AUUAAGAGCUAAAAGAAGAUAAGUCUUUCUUUUACAGAUUUUUCUUUUAAAUUUUCAUCAAUACAGAAUAGAGAAACAACUAUGUAUUUAUGGUGUAUGGACUGUUACAUGUUGUUUUGAAAUCCAUUUUAAGGAAAUAUUGACCGUUGAGAUCAAACUUUUCAAUUUUCCACCUUGAUCUUAAUGCAUGUAUCUCUCCCUUCGAGAUCUAAUGGUUUUCUAUCAUUUUUCAAGUAAGCUGAAGUCGAUUAGCUCAAGAUACUUAAGGAGACUGGGCUUAGAGACAGACUUUGUAAGCAUGUCAACAUCAUUCUUUGUGGUAAAGAAGAGACCAAGUUGACAAGCUGAAUGAUGGACAUGCGUGAAGGAAACCCUUUACUUCUUCUGCCGAGUAAGUGAGGUGAUCAGAUGAGAAAUUAAUUUGUGAUUUUGCAAGGUAAAGAUUGAAGAUUUGUAGCAUGCAAUCAAGGAAGAAGAAGGAGAAGAAGAAGAUGAACACUAUGAUAUACGUGGUUCGGCCAGAAACGCUUACAUCCACAAGAAGGGGAGUUGAUUUCUUUAU